GAUUCACCUACGGAUACCUUGUUACGACUUUUACUUCCUCUAAACGCUACAGUUUGGUCGUCUUCCCGCCAGCCAGGCAGAGUAAUCCGCCAGGCAAACAGUCCGAGGACCUCACUAAAACGUUCAAUCGGUAGUAGCGACGGGCGGUGUGUACAAAGGGCAGGGACGUAAUCAACGCAAGCUGAUGACUUGCGCUUACUGGGAAUUCCUCGUUCAAGGGAAACAAUUACAAUUCCCUAUCCCUAGCACGAGUCGGGUUCAACGGAUUACCUCGACCUUUCGGCCUUGGAAAUAUACGCACGUUGAUCGACUCAUUGUAGCGCGCGUGCGGCCCCGAACAUCUAAGGGCAUCACAGACCUGUUAUUGCUCAAUCUCGUGUGAAUUAAAAUCACUAGUCCCUCUAAGAAGUCAAUUCGGCAAGUGCAUACGCACUUCCGCGACUAUUUAACAUGCCAGAGUCUCGUUCGUUAUCGGAAUAAACCAGACAGAUCGCUCC
RNAcentral lists this ribosomal RNA (497 nucleotides) under Calanopia elliptica. RNAcentral describes it as "partial 18S ribosomal RNA". Lineage: Eukaryota; Metazoa; Arthropoda; Copepoda; Calanoida; Pontellidae. The record is from RNAcentral.